This 823-nucleotide ribosomal RNA is filed under the name Citrobacter freundii. RNAcentral describes it as "partial 23S ribosomal RNA". It matches the Rfam family "Bacterial large subunit ribosomal RNA", at positions 1 to 867 of the family's 2925-position model. The record is from RNAcentral. Lineage: Bacteria; Pseudomonadati; Pseudomonadota; Gammaproteobacteria; Enterobacterales; Enterobacteriaceae.
GGUUAAGCGACUAAGCGUACACGGUGGAUGCCCUGGCAGUCAGAGGCGAUGAAGGACGUGCUAAUCUGCGAUAAGCGUCGGUAAGGUGAUAUGAACCGUUAUAACCGGCGAUUUCCGAAUGGGGAAACCCAGUGUGUUUCGACACACUAUCGUUAACUGAAUACAUAGGUUAACGAAGCGAACCGGGGGAACUGAAACAUCUAAGUACCCCGAGGAAAAGAAAUCAACCGAGAUUCCCCCAGUAGCGGCGAGCGAACGGGGAGCAGCCCAGAGUCUGAAUCAGCUUGUGUGUUAGUGGAACGGUCUGGAAAGUCCGACGGUACAGGGUGAUAGUCCCGUACACCAAAAUGCACAGGUUGUGAACUCGAAGAGUAGGGCGGGACACGUGGUAUCCUGUCUGAAUAUGGGGGGACCAUCCUCCAAGGCUAAAUACUCCUGACUGACCGAUAGUGAACCAGUACCGUGAGGGAAAGGCGAAAAGAACCCCGGCGAGGGGAGUGAAAAAGAACCUGAAACCGUGUACGUACAAGCAGUGGGAGCCUCUUUAUGGGGUGACUGCGUACCUUUUGUAUAAUGGGUCAGCGACUUAUAUUCUGUAGCAAGGUUAACCGUAUAGGGGAGCCGAAGGGAAACCGAGUCUUAACUGGGCGUUAAGUUGCAGGGUAUAGACCCGAAACCCGGUGAUCUAGCCAUGGGCAGGUUGAAGGUUGGGUAACACUAACUGGAGGACCGAACCGACUAAUGUUGAAAAAUUAGCGGAUGACUUGUGGCUGGGGGUGAAAGGCCAAUCAAACCGGGAGAUAGCUGGUUCUCCCCGAAAGCU